CAGUAGCCACGGUAAUACGAAGGGUGCAAGCGUUAAUCGGAAUUACUGGGCGUAAAGCGUGCGUAGGUGGUGGUUUAAGUCCGUUGUGAAAGCCCUGGGCUCAACCUGGGAAUUGCAGUGGAUACUGGGUCACUAGAGUGUGGUAGAGGAUAGUGGAAUUUCCGGUGUAGCAGUGAAAUGCAUAGAGAUCGGAAGGAACAUCUGUGGCGAAGGCGACUAUCUGGGCCAACACUGACACUGAGGCACGAAAGCGUGGGGAGCAAACAGGAUUAGAUACCCGGGUAGUCCCUGUCUCUUAUAC
This 301-nucleotide ribosomal RNA is filed under the name uncultured bacterium. Its description in RNAcentral is "partial 16S ribosomal RNA". It matches the Rfam family "Bacterial small subunit ribosomal RNA", at positions 509 to 807 of the family's 1533-position model. The record is from RNAcentral.